AAGUAGUGUGACAUGUCCGUUUGAUGUUAAACUCUGAUGUAUUAUUUAUUAUUUAAUUGUUUGGGAUAACGAGGUGUUAUAUAACU
Molecule: microRNA precursor, 86 nt
Filed under: Medicago truncatula (barrel medic)
Lineage: Eukaryota; Viridiplantae; Streptophyta; Magnoliopsida; Fabales; Fabaceae
Description: MIR2617 microRNA precursor family
Rfam family: MIR2617 microRNA precursor family
Source: Rfam by way of RNAcentral